UUUAAACCUCUUCCAGAGUAUCAAUUGGAGGGCAAGUCUGGUGCCAGCAGCCGCGGUAAUUCCAGCUCCAAUAGCGUAUAUUAAAAUUGUUGCAGUUAAAAAGCUCGUAGUUGAAUUUCUGCCGCAUCGCGGCGGCCCUCCCGGGCCCAGCGUUGCGGCUUAUUUCGGACUCGCUUGCGUCUCCGAAUGUUUACUUUGAGAAAAUUAGAGUGCUCAAAGCAGGCCCUUGCCUUGAAUACUUUAGCAUGGAAUAAUAAAGUAGGACUUUGGUUCUAUUUUGUUGGUUUAGCGCCAAAGUAAUGGUUAAUAGGAACAGUUGGGGGCAUUCGUAUUUAACUGUCAGAGGUGAAAUUCUUAGAUUUGUUAAAGACGAACCACUGCGAAAGCAUUUGCCAAGGAUGUUUUCAUUAAUCAAGAACGAAAGUUAGGGGAUCGAAGACGAUCAGAUACCGUCGUAGUCCUAACCAUAAACCAUGCCGACUAGAGAUUGGAGGUCGUCAGUUUUUACGACUCCUUCAGCACCUUGAGAGAAAUCAAAGUCUUUGGGUUCUGGGGGGAGUAUUGUCGCAAGGCUGAAAC
This 579-nucleotide ribosomal RNA is filed under the name Theileria sp. RNAcentral's name for it is "SSU rRNA". It matches the Rfam family "Eukaryotic small subunit ribosomal RNA", at positions 524 to 1143 of the family's 1831-position model. The record is from RNAcentral. Lineage: Eukaryota; Apicomplexa; Aconoidasida; Piroplasmida; Theileriidae.